AAUCAACGCUGGCGGCGUGCCUCAGACAUGCAAGUCGAACGCGAAAUUUCCCUUCGGGGAGAAAGUAGAGUGGCGCACGGGUGAGUAACACGUGGGUAAUUUACCUUCGGGUGGGGAAUAACAGUCGGAAACGAUUGCUAAUACCGCAUGAUGCAGCGGCACCACAUGGUGACAGUUGUUAAAGCGGGGGAUCGCAAGACCUCGCGCCUGAAGAGAAACCCGCGGCAGAUUAGCAGUUGGUAAGGUAAUGGCUUACCAAGGCAACGAUCUGUAGCCGGCCUGAGAGGGCGGUCGGCCACACUGACACUGAAUAACGGGUCAGACUCCUACGGGAGGCAGCAGUCGGGAAUUUUGGGCAA
RNAcentral lists this ribosomal RNA (359 nucleotides) under uncultured bacterium. RNAcentral's name for it is "bacterial SSU rRNA". It matches the Rfam family "Bacterial small subunit ribosomal RNA", at positions 32 to 371 of the family's 1533-position model. The record is from RNAcentral.